CACCUUACGGGAGGCAGCAGUAGGGAAUCUUCCACAAUGGACGAAAGUCUGAUGGAGCAACGCCGCGUGAGUGAAGAAGGGUUUUGGCUCGUAAAGCUCUGUUGGUAGUGAAGAAAGAUAGAGGUAGUAACUGGCCUUUAUUUGACGGUAAUUACUUAGAAAGUCACGGCUAACUACGUGCCAGCAGCCGCGGUAAUACGUAGGUGGCAAGCGUUGUCCGGAUUUAUUGGGCGUAAAGCGAGUGCAGGCGGUUCAAUAAGGCUGAUGUGAAGGCCUUCGGCUCAACCGGAGAAUUGCAUCAGAAA
Molecule: ribosomal RNA, 305 nt
Filed under: uncultured bacterium
Lineage: Bacteria
Description: bacterial SSU rRNA
Rfam family: Bacterial small subunit ribosomal RNA
Source: RNAcentral